RNAcentral lists this long non-coding RNA (522 nucleotides) under Vigna radiata. Its description in RNAcentral is "long non-coding RNA (VRAD_LNC008730)". The record is from RNAcentral. Lineage: Eukaryota; Viridiplantae; Streptophyta; Magnoliopsida; Fabales; Fabaceae.
UCGUAUUUCUCCAAUGUUGGAGGAGGUUUCUCCGACAUAGGAGUUUGCAUGAUGGUCGUUGUAAACAGAAGUAGACCGAUAGGGCGAAUGGUUUGAAGGGGCGUUGGUGUGGGUUCCCUUCUCCCCCGACCGCCAAGUUCAGUAUGGGAAGAUCGUUCCCUGUUAUGACUACCCUCAUUAUCCCCAUGUCUAUUUGAGGCAGAUAGUUCGAGUGGGGGUCAUUGUACCCUUAACGUCGCAAUUUCUUCCACCUGUUUCCGUUGUAACUCCUGCUAUUCAUGUAUGGUCUGUGCCUGUGUUUCGAUCUGGGCUUGUAACUCUCUGAUUAGAUCUCUGGUUUUCUGCUCUUCCAUGUUUCUUAUGGUCACUAUUAGGUGUCUUCAAGUCUCAGGCCCCACAGUGAGCGCCAAAAUGUUUCUGUAGGGCUUUUGUUGGACCGAGAUACUAACCUGUUUGACGUGCCUUCCCUGCUUCAGAAUGCCUGAUCACCUGAACCGCUCACUUUCUUUACUCCAGGCCGCU